RNAcentral lists this ribosomal RNA (430 nucleotides) under uncultured bacterium. RNAcentral describes it as "bacterial SSU rRNA". It matches the Rfam family "Bacterial small subunit ribosomal RNA", at positions 355 to 776 of the family's 1533-position model. The record is from RNAcentral.
UAGGGAAUUUUCCACAAUGGGCGAAAGCCUGAUGGAGCAACGCCGCGUGAGGGAUGAAGGUCUUCGGAUUGUAAACCUCUUUGGAGUGGGAAGAACGAUUUUCAUAUUAAUAGUAUGGAGAAGUGACGGUACCACUAGAACAAGACACGGCUAACUCUGUGCCAGCAGCCGCGGUAAUACAGAGGUGUCAAACGUUGUCCGGAAUUACUGGGCGUAAAGGGCGCGUAGGCGGUCCUAUAAGUCAGAUGUGAAAGCUCCGGGCUCAACCCGGGAAUUGCAUCUGAUACUGUAGGACUUGAGUUCGGUAGAGGAGGGCGGAAUUCCAGGUGUAGCGGUGAAAUGCGUAGAUAUCUGGAGGAACACCCGUGGCGAAGGCGGCUCUCUGGUCCGAAACUGACGCUGAGGUGCGAAAGCUAGGGUAGCAAACAGG